Sipha flava (yellow sugarcane aphid) is the source of this 721-nucleotide long non-coding RNA. RefSeq lists it as uncharacterized. The transcript has 3 exons. Lineage: Eukaryota; Metazoa; Arthropoda; Insecta; Hemiptera; Aphididae. The record is from RefSeq and is a predicted model, not a curated record.
UCGAUAAAGAUAAUAGUUGAUAUAGAAUAAUAGAUUAUUUAUUUAAUGUUCAGUUCAGUCGAUUAUUAUCCGUCGUUAUUUUUGUGUCUCGCAACCACCCAACGUCGAAUCAUACAUAAAAGAUGAUCCGAGCGGUUAUUACCCAUAGCUCUAAAAUUAAAGUGAAUAACUAAAUAACAUAAAGACAUAAACUUAAAGGUAUGCUAUUUACAUGACAGUUGUGACAAUAAUAUAAUUUUAUAAAAAUUAAUUUUUUUUUCUUUUCCCUUGGAUAUAUCGUGUCACCUCUACGUUGCGUCCAUUUCACCCUGGUUGAGAACCACUGGUCUAGAGGAUCAUCUCGAAAUAUAUUGGUUGUCGUUACAGAUGUUCAAAAUAACUUGUAUAAAUUAUGUACAGACAAUGGUUUUCUGAAACAUAGUAUACCAUACAAGAACAGAAAUAGUUCCUUGUGAGGAAAAGUUGAUCGACUUAAAAAAGUACGAUACUGUCAGCCAAAAUGAAGUAAUUCUCCGGGAGGUUGCUGGGAGCCAAGGUUAUUAGAAGUGUUAUUGUAAAACAAAAUGUAAAAACAAUCGAUGUGUUUGUCGAACAGCAAAAACUCUAUGUAACUCGGAAAGUCGUAAUAGCAGUGAACCUUUGAACCUCUUACCCUGUGAAAAUUAAUACAAUUUUAAACUGUAUUGAUUUUUAACUUUUAAUAAACAAAAUAAAUUAAAUA